AUGGGAACGCGAAGAACCUUACCUACUCUUGACAUCCAGAGAACUUAGCAGAGAUGCUUUGGUGCCUUCGGGAACUCUGAGACAGGUGGUGCAUGGUUGUCGUCAGCUCGUGUCGUGAGAUGUUGGGUUAAGUCCCGCAACGAGCGCAACCCUUAUUACUAGUUGCUACCAUUAAGUUGAGCACUCUAGUGAGACUGCCCGGGUUAACCGGGAGGAAGGCGGGGAUGACGUCAAAUCAUCAUGCCCCUUAUGUCUAGGGCAACACACGUGCUACAAUGGUGAGUACAGAUAGAUGCGAUACCGCAAGGUGGAGCCAAACUCUAAAACUCAUCCCAGUUCGGAUUGUAGGCUGCAACUCGCCUACAUGAAGUUGGAGUUGCUAGUAAUCGCGAAUCAGAAUGUCGCGGUGAAUACGUUCCCGGGUCUUGUACACACCG
RNAcentral lists this ribosomal RNA (437 nucleotides) under uncultured bacterium. Its description in RNAcentral is "bacterial SSU rRNA". It matches the Rfam family "Bacterial small subunit ribosomal RNA", at positions 954 to 1392 of the family's 1533-position model. The record is from RNAcentral.